UAAGCGGAGGAGAAGAAACUAACAAGGAUUUCCCUAGUAACGGCGAGCGAACCGGAAGUAGCCCAGCUUGAAAAUCUCGUGGUUCCGCCACGCGAAUUGUAGUCUGGAGAAGCGUCCUCUGCAGCGGACCGGGCCCAAGUUCCCUGGAACGGGACGUCGGAGAGGGUGAGAGCCCCGUCGAGCUCGGACCCUGCUGCUCCACGAGGCGCUGUCGACGAGUCGGGCUGUUUGGGAAUGCAGCCCUAAGCGGGUGGUAAAUUCCAUCCAAGGCUAAAUAUGGGCAAGAGACCGAUAGCGAACAAGUACCGCGAGGGAAAGAUGAAA
RNAcentral lists this ribosomal RNA (324 nucleotides) under Cheilolejeunea trifaria. RNAcentral describes it as "eukaryotic LSU rRNA". It matches the Rfam family "Eukaryotic large subunit ribosomal RNA", at positions 47 to 369 of the family's 3401-position model. Lineage: Eukaryota; Viridiplantae; Streptophyta; Jungermanniopsida; Porellales; Lejeuneaceae. The record is from RNAcentral.